GUCAGCGUUUGGGGCACAGAUGCUAGUGUUCGAGCUCAGAACUUGGAACCGGGAGGCCCCUGUCAACAACCUGGGUCAGAUGGGAGGUACCCCGAAGAUGACUUCAGUGUCCGUUGUUAUCUGUGCGAACACCCGUAGUUCAGAGGUGAGGAAGAAACUUCACGAAGAGUGAGAAAAACCAAGAACGGGCUUCCCUCUGGGUCCUCCGCACGCCCCGCACCAACGUAGAGAAGGCGAGCGCAUCCCGCGAGGGAGGGAUACGACUGGGAGACAGCACGCUGCGAUGGUGUCCGACGCGCAGACGUCUCGAGCACAGUCCUCGCGAUCUGUGGGGGGAGAGAAGAAAGCUCCAUCAAAGCCCGUAAGGGGCGUUCGGCUGGCGUUCGUCAGCGAUCCAUGCCGCGAGUGGCGCCCUGCCCGGAACGGUGAUCGUCGCAAAGAAGACCUCGUAACGUCUGCCUGUGUGGUGGGCCACCGCUCACCGGGGCGCGUGCCGGCCUGCUGCACCGCGAUGGGGCCGGAGGCGCACGUGACCCGGAGCCGCCUGCCUCGAACCCAGGAGGGCUUUGUCCGCUGCCUGCUUCCGAGCUUACGCGUCCUCAAGGCGCUCUCGCUCGUACGCUUCCACAUUGUGAUCUCCUCCAGCUUAGGGAAGAGGAGGAUACUCGCGUACAGAGGAAGAAACGGGGACGUGCUCUUCUCUCACUGGCUCUUCGUAAUCGUCAAGGAUCACCGUCCUGGUCAACGUAGAGCAUGUGCGUGUGUGAAGUUCCCACCGAGGAGACGACGCACGUUGGGUGCGACGGAUCGGAAGUUCCUAGAGUGA
This 826-nucleotide long non-coding RNA is filed under the name Felis catus (domestic cat). Its description in RNAcentral is "lncRNA (ENSFCAG00000047152.1)". The record is from RNAcentral. Lineage: Eukaryota; Metazoa; Chordata; Mammalia; Carnivora; Felidae.